AUGAUACGCGAGGAACUACCUGGCGUCGAACGUAAGAUGACUGUAGGUGAAAGCUUACAUCUCUUCGGAGCAUUUUACGAGGUGCUGCAUGGUUGUCGUCAGCUCGUGCCGUGAGGUGUCGGGUUAAGUCCCAUAACGAGCGCAACCCCUACCUUUAGUUGCCAUCAGGUUAAGCUGGGGACUCUAAAGGAACUGCCUACGCAAGUAGUGAGGAAGGCGGGGAUGACGUCAAAUCAGCACGGCCCUUACGUCCAGGGCUACACACGUGCUACAAUGGCCGAUACAGAGGGCAGCUACCUGGUGACAGGAUGCAAAUCUCCAAAGUCGGUCUCAGUUCGGAUCGGAGUCUGCAACCCGACUCCGUGAAGUUGGAUUCGCUAGUAAUCGCGCAUCAGCCAUGGCGCGGUGAAUACGUUCCCGGGCCUU
This 426-nucleotide ribosomal RNA is filed under the name uncultured Sphingobacteriales bacterium. RNAcentral describes it as "bacterial SSU rRNA". It matches the Rfam family "Bacterial small subunit ribosomal RNA", at positions 954 to 1382 of the family's 1533-position model. The record is from RNAcentral. Lineage: Bacteria; Pseudomonadati; Bacteroidota; Sphingobacteriia; Sphingobacteriales.